AGGGGGUGCGGCUGAGCGAGCAGGUCUUCACCACGGAGAUAAAAUCAUCAAGGUUAAUGGAGUUAAUGUAACUCAUUCCACUCACACGGAAGUUGUUGAGCUUAUCAAAUGUGCAUCUCGGGGGUAUCUUGGCUAAUAGAGAUAGAACCUUCAAUCCCAAACCCACUCCCUUGUUUGGCCCUUCAAGAGCUCUGUCCUUCAGUGGUUCCCUCUGAGUCCAACACUCCAGGAUAAUAUUCCUCCUUUGUCUCCGUAAGGUUUUCUUCUAUUGAGCUACUGCAGAAGGACACAUUCCCAUUUUUGAUGUGCUGUCAAAUGGAUUUGUUCUUAUGUGGAUAUGUAUUUUAAUAAAAAGAUUUGAUGGAAACGUGUA
Homalodisca vitripennis (glassy-winged sharpshooter) is the source of this 373-nucleotide long non-coding RNA. RefSeq lists it as uncharacterized. Lineage: Eukaryota; Metazoa; Arthropoda; Insecta; Hemiptera; Cicadellidae. The transcript has 3 exons. The record is from RefSeq and is a predicted model, not a curated record.